GAUGAACGCUGGCGGCGUGCCUAAUACAUGCAAGUCGAGCGAACAGAUGAGGAGCUUGCUCCUCUGACGUUAGCGGCGGACGGGCGAGUAACACGUGUAUAACCUACCUAUAAGACUGGGAUAACUUCGGGAAACCGGAGCUAAUACCGGAUAAUAUAUUGAACCGCAUGGUUCAAUAGUGAAAUACGGUUUUGCUGUCACUUAUAGAGGGAUCCGAGCCGCAUUAGCUAGUUGGUGAUGUAACGGCUUAUCAAGGCAACGAUGCGUAGCCGACCUGAGGGGGUGAUCGGCCACACUGGAACUGAGACACGGUCCAGACUCCUACGGAAGGCAGCAGUAGGGAAUCUUCCGCAAUGGGCGAAAGCCUGACGGAGCAACGCCGCGUGAGUGAUGAAGGUCUUCGGAUCGUAAAACUCUGUUAUUAGGGAAGAACAAAUGUGUAAGUAACUAUGCACGUCUUGACGGUACCUAAUCAGAAAGCCACGGCUAACUACGUG
This 497-nucleotide ribosomal RNA is filed under the name uncultured bacterium. RNAcentral's name for it is "partial 16S ribosomal RNA". It matches the Rfam family "Bacterial small subunit ribosomal RNA", at positions 28 to 507 of the family's 1533-position model. The record is from RNAcentral.